AAAAUGAAAUGGGGAAGAAAGGUUGAUGUAACACUUAGAUAGAGUUAAAAUGAGUUAAAGUAUAACAAAGGCCUAAUAAACAAUACCAAAUAACCUCUAAAAUUGUUAUGAGUUUUUUUUUUUUUUUUCUUUUCCCAUUUUCUGUGUUUGCAACAAAUCUAAUGCAGCUGAAGCAUUCAACUUGGUCAUUUCAGAGUGAUUAUACCAAGGCCUUAAAUAAAUGGGCGAACACCGAAGUUGUACAACAAGCUCUCAACAUUCGUCAAGGAACAGUUGGAAAAUGGGAAUUGAUCAACAAUACCUUGCAUUACGAUCAAGGAAAGAAUGACACAUUGUGUUAUUCUUAUGAUAUCUUUAGUAGUUUUUCCCACCAUAAGGAACUUUCUAGU
Long non-coding RNA from Helianthus annuus (common sunflower), 389 nucleotides. RefSeq lists it as uncharacterized. Lineage: Eukaryota; Viridiplantae; Streptophyta; Magnoliopsida; Asterales; Asteraceae. The record is from RefSeq and is a predicted model, not a curated record. The transcript is spliced from 2 exons.